This 2124-nucleotide ribosomal RNA is filed under the name Triticum aestivum (bread wheat). RNAcentral describes it as "partial small subunit ribosomal RNA". Lineage: Eukaryota; Viridiplantae; Streptophyta; Magnoliopsida; Poales; Poaceae. The record is from RNAcentral.
GCCAGAGAGAUCGGCAGCUGGGAGCUGGCAGAGGGAAGAGGAGAGAAAACAGAUACCAAGGGGCGCCCCGCCGCCGGAACUCGCGGAGGUCGCGGGGGGCAUAGAGGUGCUAGGGGAAGGGCGUCAGGAUCGGCGGGGAGAGAUAAAGGAUUGCCUAGCGGCGAAUCCCAAGGCCGUACGGUGGUGGCGGAGGGCACGAGGGACGGUGGCGGGGACGUAGAGUUGGCGGCAGGCGGCCGGGUGGUGAGGAGGCAGCUGGAGGGAGUUAGAAAACAGAUACCAAGGGGCGGAGGCGGAGGCGGAGGCGGCGGCAGCGGCCGCGGUAGCGUUUUAGAGUCCCGUCCAGUCCUGAUGUCCGACCACCACGAACACACCUCAGCGGCGGCGCCUAGGGAUCCCAGCGGCGGUGGCGGCGACUAGGAGUGCCUGCUUCGUCUGCGGCCGCUUGUCCCAUCCCGCACCGGUUGCUCCUCGUCGUCGGCCUAAACACGUGUUAACCGCCGUCUAAACGACAACGACCGGGGAAUGCGCGAGGAGGGGUUAACGUCUCUACCCCUCUAAAAACACACACUGACCCACUACGGCAACUACACGACGAAGAUGGUUACCUCCCACAGAUUACAACGACGACGAUUACGGAUGUGUGUCUCUCUCUCUCUCUAACAACACUGCCUUUUGUAACUCUAGAUUGUCUUCAUGGGCGCGUCCGUAACGUAACCAACUUACGUUUUGUACUUUUUUUUAUACUUUUAAGAUGAAGGUUGACUUUUACCAUUGGCCGUUCGUCCACCUAGGUGUUGAACCACCUACCUUAAAGUUCCGUGUGACAAGUCCAAUUGGGGUUACGUACCUGACGUUAGAUGUAGUAGGCGGUUUACUGCAUGUAGGUCCGUUCGUCCACCUAGGUGUUGAACCACCUACCUUAAAGUUCCGUGUGACAAGUCCAAUUGGGGUUACGUACCUGACGUUAGAUGUAGUAGGCGGUUUCCUGCAUGUAGGUCCGGGGAUUUCACAGUUAGACACUAAUGGACAGAUUUUCCACGAACUAAAGAAAGGGAACUGAUUACACCCGAGACUAGAAAAAAGGAAGACCUAAACGACAUCCCGUACUUGUUUCGAACUAACGAACUUACCCGAAACUGGUCUAAUAACAAAAUGACCAGUCAAUCAAGUAGCGUCUGAGCUUCAUGUCUACUAGACUACAGUCUAACAAGUGUGUUGCUACAGGAACGGUGAAGAAAUCCAAUAAGGGUUUUCUUGUGUCUUACUUACCUACCGACCUGAGCAAAGGAGUGCGUACUUUACACGGACCGUAAUCGUUUGUAGUGUUUUUUGUUUUGGUCGAGUAAAAUACGAUCGUGUAUUGGAAUGCAUGUCAAUUUCAUAACUUUACUUCUGAUGACCUGUUACGUCUCGUUAAAUAAAAGGAAAGGAAACAACGUAUGAAACUUAGUUCAAUUUAAAGGGCACAGACGGACUCUCUUUUGGUACGAACACAAAAAUUCUUUAGCUCGUUCUGUGGCAGGAACAAUUUUUUUCUAUGUAUGGUUACUAACAAAAGAGUACAAUACAACCGUUAGAGCUCAGAGACACGACGAAACGUCGCUCUAAAUAUAAAAUACUCUAGACGGAGACAGAAAGAACUUUUAUUAAUUCGAAAACAAAAGGUGUUGUUUUUGUGUGAUCCUUUACGUAAACACUCAACGGUUGUUGAAAACAGUUACAUCGUCAUAAAAAAAGUUCAGACAGACUUCUCCCGUGUUCAUAUAAGUGUGUCUAUUUUACUACCACUAAUUGGCUGGUUCGACGGAGGUAACUCAGAUGGAAAAUCUCGAAGUGUCAAUUUACAUCGUAACACCAAUGUUAACACCGAUGAUAAAAAUUCUGAUGUUAACACCGAUGAACGUUUCUAUAACAAAACUCAAAGAUGAAAAACCAAGUCGAACAAACCAAAAGUCAUCGACCAGUGAAAUACAAUACUGGCCGAACCAGAUAAGAUCCUUUUACGGGUUGCCCGUAAUCAUAAUCCCCGAACCGGGUGUUCAAUAGAAUCCGUUCAAUAGAAUCCUUUCAAUAGAAUCCGAUUUCAAUAUUUAUGAGUACAUUCUGUAGCAAAACUCCUUC